Molecule: ribosomal RNA, 496 nt
Filed under: uncultured bacterium
Lineage: Bacteria
Description: partial 16S ribosomal RNA
Rfam family: Bacterial small subunit ribosomal RNA
Source: RNAcentral
GAUGAACGCUGGCGGCGUGCCUAAUACAUGCAAGUCGAGCGAACGGACGAGAAGCUUGCUUCUCUGAUGUUAGCGGCGGACGGGUGAGUAACACGUGGAUAACCUACCUAUAAGACUGGGAUAACUUCGGGAAACCGUAGCUAAUACCGGAUAAUAUUUUGAACCGCAUGGUUCAAAAGUGAAAGACGGUCUUGCUGUCACUUAUAGAUAGAUCCGCGCUGCAUUAGCUAGUUGGUAAGGUAACGGCUUACCAAGGCAACGAUGCAUAGCCGACCUGAGAGGGUGAUCGGCCACACUGGAACUGAGACACGGUCCAGAAUCCUACGGGAGGCAGCAGUAGGGAAUCUUCCGCAAUGGGCGAAAGCCUGACGGAGCAACGCCGCGUGAGUGAUGAAGGUCUUCGGAUCGUAAAACUCUGUUAUUAGGGAAGAACAUAUGUGUAAGUAACUGUGCACAUCUUGACGGUACCUAAUCAGAAAGCCACGGCUAACUACGU